UACAGAGGUCCCAAGCGUUGUUCGGAUUCACUGGGCGUAAAGGGUGCGUAGGUGGCGAGGUAAGUCGGAUGUGAAAGCUCGGAGCUCAACUCCGAAAUGGCAUUGGAAACUACCUUGCUUGAGGGUUGGAGGGGGGACUGGAAUUCUCGGUGUAGCAGUGAAAUGCGUAGAUAUCAAGAGGAACACCAGUGGCGAAGGCGAGUCCCUGGACAACACCUGACACUGAGGCACGAAAGCUAGGGGAGCAAACAGG
This 253-nucleotide ribosomal RNA is filed under the name uncultured bacterium. Its description in RNAcentral is "partial 16S ribosomal RNA". It matches the Rfam family "Bacterial small subunit ribosomal RNA", at positions 524 to 776 of the family's 1533-position model. The record is from RNAcentral.